AUCCAGCUAACGCGUCUCAAAUAGGACGAAACGCGCGUCCUGGAU
Molecule: non-coding RNA, 45 nt
Organism: Schistosoma haematobium
Lineage: Eukaryota; Metazoa; Platyhelminthes; Trematoda; Strigeidida; Schistosomatidae
Source: Rfam